Molecule: ribosomal RNA, 294 nt
Filed under: uncultured bacterium
Lineage: Bacteria
Description: partial 16S ribosomal RNA
Rfam family: Bacterial small subunit ribosomal RNA
Source: RNAcentral
AAUCAACGCUGGCGGCGUGCCUCAGACAUGCAAGUCGAACGAGAACCUCCCUUCGGGGAGGGGACGAGUGGCGCACGGGUGAGUAACACGUGGGUAAGUUUACCUUUGGGUGGGGAACGAACAGCCGGAAACGGCGUGCUAAUACCGCAUAAUGCAGCGGCUCGACAUCGAGACAGUUGUUAAAGCGGGGAUCGCAAGACCUCGCGCCUGAAGAGAAGCCUGCGGCGGAUUAGCUAGNGGUAGGGUAAUGGCCUACCAAGGCGACGAUCUGUAACCGGCCUGAGAGGGGCGGUC